RNAcentral lists this ribosomal RNA (374 nucleotides) under uncultured prokaryote. RNAcentral describes it as "bacterial SSU rRNA". It matches the Rfam family "Bacterial small subunit ribosomal RNA", at positions 524 to 896 of the family's 1533-position model. The record is from RNAcentral.
UACGUAGGUGUCGAGCGUUAUCCGGAAUUACUGGGCGUAAAGGGCACGCAGGCGGCUGUUCAAGUCUGACGUAAAAACUCCCGGCUUAACUGGGAGAGGCCGUUGGAAACUGAGCAGCUUGAGGCAAUGAGAGGGAUGCGGAAUUCCCGGUGUAGUGGUGGAAUGCGUAGAUAUCGGGAAGAACACCAGUGGCGAAAGCGGCAUCCUGGCAUUGAACUGACGCUCAUGUGCGAAAGCGUGGGUAGCGAACGGGAUUAGAUACCCCGGUAGUCCACGCUGUAAACGAUGUGAACUAGGUGUAGGUGGUAUUGACCCCAUCUGUGCCGAAGCAAACGCGAUAAGUUCACCGCCUGGGGAGUACGGCCGCAAGGCUA